UUAAAUAAAAUAAUAGGAAGUCAUGGGAAUGUGAAUUUUUCUUGCCUAGAUUAAAAAGUUAAAGGAUUGUUUUAAGUUAGGAUAAAGCUGAAGUUUUAAGCAAGUUGUGAAAGGUUUGUGAAAAAUUAAUUGUAGAAGAGAUUCUGUGUGAAGAUAUUGGCUAAAGUUAAAGGGGUUUUCAGUUUUUCUGUAAACUGAACAUUGGAGUAAGAACACAACAGGUUUUUUUUGUUUUUGAGCAAAAGCUUGCUUAUGAUCUGCUCUUUAAUAAUAAUUUAUAAAAAUGGUGUUUGGUUUUCCUUGGGCUGUAUUUGUAUAAAAGUGUUAUUUUCAUAUUUGUUCCAAAAUUAUGGGAAACUCUUAUAAUUCUGAAAUGACUUAGUUUACAUUAUCAGUAAUAAUUAUAAUUGUUGUGUUGAAUUGUUGUAUGCCACAGAUUGUAUAUAACCAAAAUUGUGUGUAACCGAAUUUCUUUGUCAAUCGUGUAUUUAACUGUGGCUGUCCUAAGAUGUUUUGUCAUCAAAAAACAAUUAUUACCUUGUUUUAAUCCUCUUUAGAAGGUGGUUUAUAAUCAAUUAUAGAAAUCUAACAGGUGUUCUUAAAUGCAGGUUUUCUGAUAACUUUGGAGAUUGUUACAUCAGAAUAGAGGAAAAAAACUUUUAGGACUCUCAUAAAGAGCUAGAAUGUUCAUUAACUAUCAAGCAGAAGUUAACUACAUGGACUAAGUUAAAGAAGUCUAAUCUUUUUAACUUUUCUUAAAAUGCUGCUGAUCCUUUAUUUUGUUUUUCUGAGUAAAGAAGACAUUUUUUUGAGCUAUUUACAGCUUUUAGCAAUUGAGUUCACUUCUCUGAACAAAAUUUGAAGCAUAUUUGUUUCUCUCUACCUGAUUUCUCCAAAAUUCAGAAACUAUUUGAAUCAAACUUGACUUGUAGAGCCAAUAAAAAUUCUUUGGGGAACUUGCCUCAUACCUUGCCUACACGAUCCCUGGUAAGUAAAGAAUGUCACUUUCUCACAGGUCAAAGAGCCUUAAGUUAUCUUGGGACCUCAAAAGGAGAGGAAUUCACCCAACUUGUAGAUAUUUGAGGAUAAAACCCCAUGGCAAGUCUUGGCUUUAAAGAAGUCUUAUCUGUGAUUCCUUCUAUGGAAGAGUUCUAUCAAAGCCAAUUUAAAAAGAGCUUAUGUGAAAAAUAAUUAUUCUUGCUGCACUUUUAUACAAAUAAUCAGGCCAAGUAUAAUAAAACAAAAUGGUCUUUUCAUGAUUUGUCUUUAGUAAAAAUCAGACACUGGAGAGAAAAAUACUAUGUUUCAAGAACUAUAAUACACUUGGUAUUAAAUUCUAGUCUCAUUAGUUGUUUUUAAGUUGGCUUCUGCAAUUUAGGCUAACCCUGCUUAUUCCUGUGAACCAACCAGUGAGCUCUGAUUGCUGCUCAGUAGAAACAAAAAGGAUGGGUAAUGUAAAAAUCUGGAUCAGUAUUCUAAUUCUGGGCACAUUACAAUUAGCUAACAACCCCAUAUCAGCUUAGUUCCAACAGUUUUUCAGUUCAUGAAAAGCCUAAUUUGGUUUACUUGAAAUAAC
Long non-coding RNA from Callithrix jacchus (white-tufted-ear marmoset), 1576 nucleotides. The record is from Ensembl. NCBI's taxonomy places the organism in Eukaryota, Metazoa, Chordata, Mammalia, Primates, Cebidae.